UCUCUCUGAAUCUGCGAACGGCUCCGCAAACCAGUUGUAAACUAUAGCAAGCAAGCUCAGGGUUGGCCCUCACGGGCCGGCUCGGGGCGAUAUGGAUAACCCUGGUAAUUCUGAGGCUAAUACAUGAGUGUAAACCCUGGAGGACCGGCUUCGGCUGGGAAUCUGGGGGAUGUGCGAUUGCAGGCUUGGUAACACCGGGAAAGGGCGCACGUUCAGAUCACGCUAAAAAGGUCGGGCUCCUUCGGGGGCCUGCCCCAGUGACUCUUGCUGUGUGCUUCUGACCUAUCAACUAGACGGCAGCGUAAGGGACAUGCUAUGGUGACAACGGGUACAGAGGAUUAGGGUUCGAUCCUGGAGAGUGGGCCUGAGAGAUU
RNAcentral lists this ribosomal RNA (374 nucleotides) under Lamproderma sauteri. Its description in RNAcentral is "SSU rRNA". It matches the Rfam family "Eukaryotic small subunit ribosomal RNA", at positions 76 to 405 of the family's 1831-position model. Lineage: Eukaryota; Evosea; Eumycetozoa; Stemonitida; Stemonitidae. The record is from RNAcentral.